Pristis pectinata (smalltooth sawfish) is the source of this 3863-nucleotide long non-coding RNA. RefSeq lists it as uncharacterized. Lineage: Eukaryota; Metazoa; Chordata; Chondrichthyes; Rhinopristiformes; Pristidae. The record is from RefSeq and is a predicted model, not a curated record. The transcript has 2 exons.
CAGAUUUCCGAGCCUUCGUCCGAAAUAUGGUAUGGCUCUGGUGCAUAUUCUCAGCUGUAACUAAGGUACAGGAUUAGGCAUUUCUGCAACAACGAGCGAGAUUUGGCUCUGUCUUCCUGCAAGAGGAGCAGCUUUUUUAUGAAAAAAGGUACUAAUGGCUGUUAUGGUUAGCUGUUCGAAGCUAAAUUAACACAAUCCUAGUUUUCAAAAAAAAGGAUGCUGCAGAUUUACUCAAUAUCGGGAUACUUCCAACAGAGAAUUCUGGAAAUAGUGUUGAUCUGCAAUCAGACUCAGUUUUUGUUAAACAACCAAGUACACAAUUAAGUCGCCAUAAUUGCUGAUAAAUGUUCCUCCUUGGAAUGAGUGAGUCUUAUUGUUGAUUCCCAGCAGCAUCUAGAUUUUCCAGAUGCUUCUCAUGUCCAUGUAAAAAAAAUUUUUUUUAUAAAUUCUGCUUCGAAAUCAUUCCUAUUUUAAAACAAUGCUUGAAUUUGGUAUUUCUGGGGAAAGUGAUUCAUCAAAAUGAACAUCAGAAAUAGAAGCUGCCCUGACAAUUCGUCCCUAAUCUGUGACCACUAUCACCAAAAAUGACAAGGGCAGCAAGUGUGAGGUUCACUAUUACCUACUGGUUCACUUACAUUACAGGAUAAUUUGGCAAACCCCACUGAGGGAGUAGCUUCACCCAAAGGAAUGCAGCAGUUUGCAAAGGCAGCUCAAUGCCACCUUCUUGAGGACAAUAAAUGCUUGUCUUUCAGCCAACAGCCAAGUACAAAAAAUAUUUUUAUAUAAAGCGGGUGUUCACCAUUAGUCCCCUCAAGCCUGAAAUUCUAUGCAUAUUACAGUGGCAUGCAAAAGUUUGGGCACCCCAGUCAAAAUUUUUGUUACUGUGAAUAGUUAAGUGAGUAGAAGAUGAACUGAUGUCCAAAAGUCAUAAAGAUGAAACAUUCGUUUCAACAUUUUAAGCAAGAUUAGUGUACAAUUUGUUUUGUACAAUUUUAGAGUGAAAAAAGGAAAGGAGCACCAUGCAAAUGUUUGGGCACCCCAAGAGAUUUGAGCUCUCAGAUAACUUUUACCAAUGUCUCAGACCUUCAUUAGCUUUUUAGGGCUAUGGCUUGUUCACAGUCGUCGUUAGGAAAAGCCAGGUGAUGCAAAUUUCAAAGCUUUAUAAAUACCCUGACUCCUCAAAUCUUGUCCCAACAAUCAGCAGCCAUGGGCUCCUCUAAGCAGCUGCCUCACACUCUGAAAAUUAAAAUAAAUGAUGCCUACAAAGCAGGAGAAGGCUAUAAGAAGAUAGCAAAGCAUUUUCAGGUAGCUGUUUCCUCAGUUCGUAAUGUAAUUAAGAAAUGGCAGUUAACAGGAACGGUGGAGGUCAAGUUGAGGACUGGAAGACCAAGAAAACUUUCCGAGAGAACUGUUCAUAGGAUUGCUAGAAAGGCAAAUCAAAACCCCUGUUUGACUGCAAAAGACCUUCAGAAAGAUUUAGCAGACUCUGGAGUGGUGGUGUACUGUUCUACUGUGCAGCGACACCUGCACAAAUAUGACCUUCAUUGGAAGGGUCAUCAGCAAAAAACCUUUCCUGCAUCCUCACCACAAAAUUCAGUGUCUCUGGCAACUGCAGAGAGAGAUAUCUGUGAGCUGAUUCCUGAACCCAGCCACAGAGACGCGAGAGUUGGUAGCACUGACUGCCAACUUCUAUAUCUAUGAGUGAAGUCCAAUCGUUGGGUGACUGUCACUUCGCAAUCAAUACAUGGAUUUUUGGAGCAAUCUGUGGAGUCCACUUUGUCGUUAACCUGUACCGGGAAGCAGGUAUAUCUGUGGGCAGCCACGUAUCGAGUGCCCUCGGUGUGGCAGGUUUUUCAGAACAAAGCAACAGAGAUCUUCGGUGAUUGUGGCAUUGUAUUGGUUCCAAUGUGGAACUUGUGAACUUCGUAAACUCCUCUCUACAUUCUAACGUGGUUUUCAGAAGCCUUUGCUCAUCAUUUUGCUUCACGACGUGCUGAACUGAACUGAACUUUGAGAACUGUUCCUAGACUUGGUCGUUUGGGAACUGGCCACAUGCACUUCGGUUUAUCAUAGAACAGUACAGCACCAUACAGGCCCUUUGGCCCACAAUGUUGUGCCGACCUUUAAACAUCGCCUAAGACCAUCUAACCCCUUCCUCCCACAUAUCCCCCUAUUUUAAAUUCCUCCAUAUGCUUAUCUAGCAAUCUCUUGAAUUUGACCAAUGUACCUGCCUCCACCACCACCCCAGGUGGUGCAUCCCAUGCCCCAACCACUCUCUGGGUAAAAAACCUCCCUCUGAUAUCUCCCUCAAACUUACCACCCAUUACCUUAAAGCGAUGCCCUCUUGUAUUGAGCAUUGGUGCCCUGGGAAAGAGGAGCUGGCUGUCUGUCUAUUCCUCUUAAUAUUUUGUAUACCUCUAUCAUGUUUCCCCUCAUCUUCUCUCCAAAGAGUAAAGCCCUAGCUCCUUUAAUCUCUCCUCAUAAUGCAUACUCGCUAAACCAGGCAGCAUUCUGGUAAAUCUCCUCUGCGACCUUUCCAGUGCUUCCACAUCCUUCCCAUGAUGAGGCAACCAGAACUGGACACAGUACUCCCAAGUGUGGUCUAACCAGAGUUUUGUAGAGCUGCAUCAUUACCUUGCGGCUCUUAAACUCAAUGCCAUGACUUAUGAAUGCUAAUGUCCUGUAAGCUUUAUUAACUACUCUAUCCACCAGUGAGGCAACUUUCAGGGAUCUGUGGAUAUGAACCCCCAGAUCCCUCUGCUCCUCCACACUACCCAGAAUCCUGCCAUUAACUUUGUACUCUGCCUUGGAGUUUGUCCUUCCAAAGUGUACCACCUCACACUUCUCUGGAUUGAACUCCAUCUGCCACUUCUCAGCCCAGCUCUGCAUGCUAUCGAUAUCCCUCUGCAAUCUUCGACAGUCCUCCACACUAUCCACAACACCACCGACCUUUGUGUCAUCUGCAAACUUGCCAACCCACCCUUCUACCCCCUCAUCCAAGUCAUUAAUAAAAAUCACGAAAAGUAGAGGUCCCAGAACCGAUCCUUGUGGGACACCGCUAGUCACUGCCCUCCAAUCUGAAUACAUUCCCUCCACCACAACCCACUGCUUUCUACAUAAAGUCAAUUUUGAAUCCACAUGGCCAAGCAUCCCUGGAUCCCAUGCCCUCUGACCUUCUGAAGAAGCCUACCAUGUGGAACCUUGUCAAAUGCCUUAUUAAAAUCCGGUCAAUGUCUGAUAUCUAACGUUUUUUGUAUUACAGCUACUUAUUAAUAAAUAGGUUUUAAUGUUGAAACCUUGCUUGUUGUGUUUCUAUUGUUGCUGGUACGUAACAGAAUUGGUGGCUCGUCUGGGAUCGACUCAAGACUGAUACGAGAGGUCUGGGUUUGAAACAAAUUGGAGCUUAUUGAACAAUCAAUUGUCGAUCUGACUGAUAAAUUUCCUUUCGAUUGGCUUGUAUGUGUGGAAACCAGCAGCAAUGGAUGUUGAUGCCUUUCUGAAAUCGCCAACCCCUGUGGGAUUGCACGGGGCGAGUAAGGCAGAGUUGUUGAGCAUUGCUAUAAGGUUAAAACUUGAAGCAGCAAAGAGGUCUAUGAAAAAAGCAGAUAUUUGGAGAAUGAUAGCUGUGUAACGACUCACCGUCCAAGCAAGCGAAUUGGCUUUGCGGUUGGGUCGCGCGUCGUCAGAGCGGCGAGGCCCAAGAUGGCGCUGGGCCUUCGUCUUCCCCGAGCGACGGGGAGAACCCAUCCAUGGGAAAAGUUUGAUGACGUAGCGCAUACGUCAUUUCCGUUUUCGGUGGGCGGGAACUGUUCCUCUUAAAAGGCUCAUGCAAAGUGGGAAAAUAAAUUAGUUUUGUUCUGCAA